GCGGGGUAGGUGUGUGACAGGCAAAUCCGUCACAUAAGCCGAAGACGUGAUGUGGAGCGAAAUUAAGUAGUGAAGUAUGUGAGCCAUGUGCCGAGAAAAGCCGCUAUUGUUUUAUAUGUGCCCGUACCGUAAACCGACACAGGUGGAUGAGGAGAGAAUCCUAAGGCCGACGGAAGAAGCAUUGUUAAGGAAUUCGGCAAAAUGACCCCGUAACUUCGGGAGAAGGGGUGCCCACUGAAUGGUGGGCCGCAGAGAAUAGGCUCAAGCAACUGUUUAGCAAAAACACAGGUCUAUGCGAAACCGAAAGGUGAAGUAUAUGGGCUGACGCCUGCCCGGUGCUGGAAGGUUAAGAGGAGAGGUUAGCGCAAGCGAAGCUUUGAAUUUAAGCCCCAGUAAACGGCGGCCGUAACGAUAACGGUCCUAAGGUAGCGAAAUUCCUUGUCGGGUAAGUUCCGACCCGCACGAAAGGCGUAAUGAUUUGUGCACUGUCUCGACAAUGCAUCCGGUGAAAUUGAAGUACCAGUGAAGAUGCUGGUUACCCGCGCCAGGACGGAAAGACCCCAUGGAGCUUUACUCCAGUUUGAUACUGGGAUUCGGUACUGCACGUACAGGAUAGGUGGGAGACUGAGAACUAUGGACGCCAGUCUGUAGGGAGUCGCUGUUGGGAUACCACCCCUGUAGUACUGGGUUUCUAACCAUCUGCCGUGAUCCGGCAGUGGGACAAUGUCAGGCGGGGAGUUUGACUGGGGCGGUCGCCUCCGAAAGGGUAUCGGAGGCGCUCAAAGGUUCCCUCAGAAUGGUCGGAAACCAUUUGAAGAGUGCAAAGGCAGAAGGGAGCUUGACUGCGACACCGACGGGUGGAGCAGGUACGAAAGUAGGACUUAGUGAUCCGGUGGUAUAAAGUGGGAUUGCCAUCGCUCAACGGAUAAAAGCUACCCUGGGAUAACAGGCUUAUCACUCCCAAGUGUUCACAUCGACGGAGUGGUUUGGCACCUCGAUGUCGGCUCAUCGCAUCCUGGGGCUGUAGCAGGUCCCAAGGGUUGGGCUGUUCGCCCAUUAAAGCGGUACGCGAGCUGGGUUCAGAACGUCGUGAGACAGUUCGGUCCCUAUCCGGCGCGGGCGGAGGAUAUUUGAGAGGAGCUGUCCUUAGUACGAGAGGACCGGGAUGGACGGACCACUGGUGUAUCUGUUGUCGACCAACGGCAUGGCAGAGUAGCCAAGUCUGGAAGGGAUAAACGCUGAAGGCAUCUAAGCGUGAAGCCCCCCUCAAGAUGAGAUAUCCCUCCUUCGGGAGUAAGACCCCUUGAAGACUACAAGGUAGAUAGGGCAGAGGUGGAAGUGUGGCAACACAUGGAGCUGACUGUUACUAAUAGGUCGAGGGCUUGAUC
RNAcentral lists this ribosomal RNA (1388 nucleotides) under metagenome. Its description in RNAcentral is "bacterial LSU rRNA". It matches the Rfam family "Bacterial large subunit ribosomal RNA", at positions 1516 to 2925 of the family's 2925-position model. The record is from RNAcentral.